CAGAGUGUAGUUGACCAGUGCCCAACAGUGAAAUUGACCGCUGGGCGGUGAAACUAGGCAUUGGGCGGUUUGCAGAUUCUGUGCUCUAAUGCAGUGUUCUUUAGUGUAUGUAGGAUAAAAUUUUUGGUACUAGGAGCACAAGAUGAUCGGGAGGUAGAUAAGAAAGGAGAAUUGGUUCACCAACAACCUGAUGUGAAAAGUGA
This 203-nucleotide long non-coding RNA is filed under the name Vigna radiata. RNAcentral's name for it is "long non-coding RNA (VRAD_LNC001727)". The record is from RNAcentral. Lineage: Eukaryota; Viridiplantae; Streptophyta; Magnoliopsida; Fabales; Fabaceae.